UACUCUUGACAUCCAGCGAACUUAGCAGAGAUGCUUUGGUGCCUUCGGGAACGCUGAGACAGGUGCUGCAUGGCUGUCGUCAGCUCGUGUUGUGAAAUGUUGGGUUAAGUCCCGCAACGAGCGCAACCCUUAUCCUUUGUUGCCAGCGAUUCGGUCGGGAACUCAAAGGAGACUGCCGGUGAUAAACCGGAGGAAGGUGGGGAUGACGUCAAGUCAUCAUGGCCCUUACGAGUAGGGCUACACACGUGCUACAAUGGCGCAUACAAAGAGAAGCGACCUCGCGAGAGCAAGCGGACCUCACAAAGUGCGUCGUAGUCCGGAUCGGAGUCUGCAACUCGACUCCGUGAAGUCGGAAUCGCUAGUAAUCGUGGAUCAGAAUGCCACGGUGAAUACGUUCCCGGGCC
RNAcentral lists this ribosomal RNA (404 nucleotides) under uncultured bacterium. Its description in RNAcentral is "bacterial SSU rRNA". It matches the Rfam family "Bacterial small subunit ribosomal RNA", at positions 976 to 1380 of the family's 1533-position model. The record is from RNAcentral.